RNAcentral lists this ribosomal RNA (253 nucleotides) under uncultured bacterium. RNAcentral describes it as "partial 16S ribosomal RNA". It matches the Rfam family "Bacterial small subunit ribosomal RNA", at positions 524 to 776 of the family's 1533-position model. The record is from RNAcentral.
UACGGAGGGAGGAAGAGUAGGAAGGAAUUACUGGGCGUAAAGCGCACGUAGGCGGCGAUUUAAGUCAGAGGUGAAAGCCCGGGGCUCAACCCCGGAAUAGCCUUUGAGACUGGAUUGCUUGAAUCUUGGAGAGGUGAGUGGAAUUCCGAGUGUAGAGGUGAAAUUCGUAGAUAUUCGGAAGAACACCAGUGGCGAAGGCGGCUCACUGGACAAGUAUUGACGCUGAGGUGCGAAAGCGUGGGGAGCAAACAGG